CGGGACGGAGAUGCUGCUCCCCCACCCGGGGCCGACGCGGGGGAGGGGCCGGGGGCGGCCGGCUGGGGCUCCCCGCUGCGGGCUCUCGCCUCCCUGGAGCCCCGCCUGGAUCUGCUGUUGGGCGCUCGCCGGCUGUCAAGCGGCCUGGGCUGGGGACCUGCCCUCCUCCUCCGGACGCCCGCUUCCUCCUUGCCUGGAGGAAGAUUUCCACUUUGAAUAUACAGAAUGUGAUAGCAGUGGCUCCAGAUGGAGAGUUGCCAUUCCGAAUUCUGCAGUGGACUGCUCUGGCCUGCCUGACCCAGUGAGAGGCAAAGAAUGCACUUUCUCCUGUGCUUCUGGGGAGUAUCUAGAAAUGAAGAAUCAGGUGUGCAGUAAGUGUGGUGAAGGCACCUACUCCUUGGGCAGUGGCAUCAAAUUUGAUGAAUGGGAUGAAUUGCCGGCAGGAUUUUCCAACGUUGCAACAUUCAUGGACACUGUGGUCGGCCCUUCGGACAGCAGGCCGGACGGCUGUAACAACUCUUCCUGGGUCCCUCGUGGAAAUUACAUAGAGUCCAAUCGUGAUGACUGCACGGUAUCCUUGAUCUACGCUGUGCACCUCAAGAAGUCAGGCUAUGUUUUCUUUGAGUACCAGUAUGUGGACAACAACAUCUUCUUUGAGUUCUUUAUUCAAAAUGAUCAGUGCCAGGAGAUGGACACCACUGCUGACAAGUGGGUAAAACUCACCGACAGUGGAGCAUGGGGCUCUCAUUCUGUAAUGUUGAAAUCAGGUACAAACAUACUGUACUGGAGAACUACAGGCAUCCUUAUGGGUUCCAAGGCAGUCAAGCCAGUGUUGGUGAAAAAUAUCACAAUUGAAGGGGUGGCAUACACAUCAGAAUGCUUUCCAUGCAAGCCUGGCACCUUCAGUGACGAACCAGGUUCAUUCAUCUGCCAAGUUUGUCCCAGAAACACCUAUUCUGAGAAAGGAGCCAAAGAAUGCAUCAAGUGUGACGAGGCCUCCCAGUUUUCAGAAGAAGGAUCCAGCAAGUGUAAGGAGCGUCCUCCCUGUACCACAAAAGACUAUUUCCAGAUCCACACUCCAUGUGAUGAGGAAGGAAAGACGCAGAUAAUGUACAAAUGGAUAGAGCCCAAAAUCUGCCGGGAGGAUCUCACAGAUGCUAUUAGGUUGCCCCCUUCUGGAGAGAAGAAGGAUUGUCCACCCUGCAACCCUGGAUUUUAUAACAAUGGAUCUUCUUCUUGCCAUCCCUGCCCUCCUGGAACGUUUUCGGAUGGAACAAAGGAAUGUAGACCAUGUCCAGCAGGAACAGAGCCUGCACUUGGGUUUGAAUAUAAAUGGUGGAAUGUCCUUCCUGGUAACAUGAAAACCUCCUGCUUCAAUGUCGGGAAUUCAAAGUGUGACGGAAUGAAUGGUUGGGAGGUGGCUGGAGAUCAUAUCCAGAGUGGGGCUGGAGGUUCCGAUAAUGAUUACCUGAUCUUAAACUUGCAUAUCCCAGGAUUUAAACCACCGACAUCGAUGACGGGAGCCAUGGGUUCUGAACUGGGAAGAAUAACAUUUGUGUUUGAGACCCUCUGUUCAGCCGACUGUAUUCUGUACUUCAUGGUGGAUAUUAAUAGAAAAAGUACCAACGUGGUCGAAUCAUGGGGUGGAACCAAAGAAAAACAAGCUUACACCCAUGUCAUCUUCAAGAAUGCCACAUUUACAUUUACGUGGGCAUUUCAGAGGACCAAUCAGGGUCAAGAUAAUAGACGGUUCAUCAAUGACAUGGUGAAGAUUUAUUCUAUCACUGCCACUAAUGCAGUUGAUGGGGUGGCGUCCUCAUGCCGUGCCUGUGCCCUCGGUUCUGAACAGUUGGGCUCAUCGUGUGUCCCCUGCCCCCCAGGCCACUACAUUGAGAAAGAAACCAACCAGUGCAAGGAGUGUCCACCUGACACCUACCUGUCCAUACAUCAGGUCUAUGGCAAGGAGGCUUGUAUUCUAUGUGGGCCUGGGAGUAGAAGCACCCAGGACCACUCAGUUUGCUACAGUGACUGCUUUUUCUACUAUGAAAAAGAAAAUCAAAGUUUGCACUAUGACUUCAGCAACCUCAGCAGUGUGGGCUCCUUAAUGAAUGGUCCCAGCUUUACCUCCAAAGGAACAAAAUACUUCCAUUUCUUCAAUAUCAGUUUAUGUGGGCAUGAGGGGAAGAAGUUGGCUCUCUGCACCAACAAUAUAACAGACUUCACAGUAAAGGAAAUGGUGGCAGGGUCAGAUGAUUAUACGAAUUUGGUAGGAGCAUUUGUAUGUCAGUCAACUAUUAUUCCUUCUGAAAGUAAGGGCUUCCGAGCAGCCUUAUCAUCACAGUCCAUCAUUCUAGCAGAUACAUUUUUAGGAGUGACUGUUGAAACCACAUUGCAAAAUAUUAAUAUAAAAGAAGAUAUGUUCCCAGUUUCACCAAGCCAAAUACCAGAUGUGCAUUUCUUUUAUAAGUCUUCUACAACUACAACCUCUUGUGUUAAAGGCCGAUCAACUGCUGUGAAAAUGAGGUGUAAUCCCACUAAACCGGGAGCUGGAACCAUUUCAGUACCCAGCAAGUGUCCAGCAGGUACCUGUGAUGGAUGUACAUUCUAUUUCCUGUGGGAGAGUGCUGAAGCUUGCCCUCUGUGCACAGAGCAUGACUUCCAUGAGAUUGAGGGUGCCUGUAAGAGGGGAUUUCAGGAAACCUUAUAUGUGUGGAAUGAACCUAAGUGGUGCAUUAAAGGAAUUUCUCUGCCUGAGAAAAAGUUGUCAACCUGCGAAACAGUUGACUUUUGGCUAAAAGUGGGAGCAGGUGUGGGAGCUUUUACAGCUGUUUUGCUUGUGGCUCUAACUUGCUACUUCUGGAAAAAGAAUCAGAAACUGGAAUACAAAUAUUCCAAAUUAGUAAUGACGACAAACUCAAAAGAGUGUGAACUCCCAGCUGCAGACAGCUGUGCUAUCAUGGAAGGAGAAGAUAAUGAAGAGGAGGUUGUAUAUUCCAAUAAACAGUCGCUACUGGGAAAACUCAAAUCCUUGGCAACAAAGGACAAAGAAGACCAUUUUGAAUCUGUUCAACUGAAAUCCUCAAGAUCUCCAAAUAUGUGAAAGACAGUGCUGUAGCCUUCAGACUAAUGAACAAAGAAACCUGCUCUCUAGUUUUACAGGACCAUAGUUUAGAGCCUGUCCUCGUAUCCGGCACAUUGGUGAUGUCACAGAGGAGGGCCAUGCCGCUGAAAAGGGAAGGAGGUUGAAAUGUUAGAUUGCCUUAUAACAUGGUCAAGUGUCUUGCCAAAAAUAAGAAAGCAAAUGUUUUGAGUCUCAACUGAAGAUGAAGCUCAACUCAGGAAGAGAUUUAUCUGUAUAUACAAAUAACUCAAAACCAAGGUUAAGCCCACCAGCGCACUGCUGAUGCAUGCCAUAUAAUUAAUGGGGUAUCCUUGUUGAUUUCAGAAGCCUAAGUAAGCAGUAAUUCUUAAUGAAGAGUCAGCAUGUGCUUGGGUUAUCUAACUUAUAAACGCCUUUGAAAUUCCAUCCUUGUUGGAACUGGGAUGACUCUACGUAGUGCCAUAAGUCAUCUGUGAACUCU
Molecule: non-coding RNA, 3581 nt
Organism: Kogia breviceps (pygmy sperm whale)
Lineage: Eukaryota; Metazoa; Chordata; Mammalia; Artiodactyla; Physeteridae
Source: RefSeq, a predicted model, not a curated record